GCCGACAUAGUAUAAUGGCAUUACGCGUCCAUGGUAAGGAUGUAAUCGCAGUUCAAUUCUGCGUGUCGGCACCA
RNAcentral lists this transfer RNA (74 nucleotides) under Erysipelotrichaceae bacterium. Its description in RNAcentral is "tRNA-Thr". It matches the Rfam family "tRNA". Rfam says of the family: Transfer RNA (tRNA) molecules are approximately 80 nucleotides in length. Their secondary structure includes four short double-helical elements and three loops (D, anti-codon, and T loops). The record is from RNAcentral. Lineage: Bacteria; Bacillati; Bacillota; Erysipelotrichia; Erysipelotrichales; Erysipelotrichaceae.